AACGAACGCUGGCGGCAUGCCUAACACAUGCAAGUCGAACGAGACCUUCGGGUCUAGUGGCGCACGGGUGCGUCACGCGUGGGAACCUGCCCUUAGGUUCGGAAUAACUCCCCGAAAGGGGUGCUAAUACCGGAUAAUGUCUUCGGACCAAAGAUUUAUCGCCUUUGGAUGGGCCCGCGUUGGAUUAGCUAGUUGGUAGGGUAAAAGCCUACCACGGCGACGAUCCAUAGCUGGUCUGAGAGGAUGAUCAGCCACACUGGGACUGAGACACGGCCCAGACUCCUACGGGAGGCAGCAGUGGGGAAUAUUGGACAAUGGGCGAAAGCCUGAUCCAGCAAUGCCGCGUGAGUGAUGAAGGCCUUAGGGUUGUAAAGCUCUUUUACCCGGGAUGAUAAUGACAGUACCGGAAGAAUAAGCUCCGGCUAACUCCGUG
This 433-nucleotide ribosomal RNA is filed under the name uncultured bacterium. RNAcentral's name for it is "partial 16S ribosomal RNA". It matches the Rfam family "Bacterial small subunit ribosomal RNA", at positions 29 to 507 of the family's 1533-position model. The record is from RNAcentral.